Molecule: ribosomal RNA, 462 nt
Filed under: Dichaetophora sp. 11 (Toda)
Lineage: Eukaryota; Metazoa; Arthropoda; Insecta; Diptera; Drosophilidae
Description: partial 28S ribosomal RNA
Rfam family: Eukaryotic large subunit ribosomal RNA
Source: RNAcentral
UUCGUGUGAACAGUGGUUGAUCACGAGUUAGUCGGUCCUAAGUUCAAGGCGAAAGCCGAAAAUUUUCAAGUAAAAAAUUUGUGAUAAUUGAAUAUUUAUUAAUAAUGAUAUACUUGAAUAAUUUUGAACGAAAGGGAAUACGGUUCCAAUUCCGUAACCUGUUGAGUAUCCGUUUGUUAUUAAAUAUGGGCCUCGUGCUCAUCCUGGCAACAGGAACGACCAUAAAGAAGCCGUCGAGAGAUAUCGGAAGAGUUUUCUUUUCUGUUUUAUAGCCGUACUACCAUGGAAGUCUUUCGCAGAGAGAUAUGGUAGAUGGGCUAGAAGAGCAUGACAUAUACUGUUGUGUCGAUAUUUUCUCCUCGGACCUUGAAAAUUUAUGGUGGGGACACGCAAACUUCUCAACAGGCCGUACCAAUAUCCGCAGCUGGUCUCCAAGGUGAAGAGUCUCUAGUCGAUAGAAUA